Non-coding RNA from Gasterosteus aculeatus aculeatus (three-spined stickleback), 1256 nucleotides. The record is from RefSeq and is a predicted model, not a curated record. NCBI's taxonomy places the organism in Eukaryota, Metazoa, Chordata, Actinopteri, Perciformes, Gasterosteidae.
UCUGUCUGUCUUUUAACAGGAAAUGAUACAGGACUCUCAAGCGUCACGCACUCCCGCCACACAUCCAAAUCCUCACGCCGAGGAAUCUACUCCGGUCAUGUGUGCACCACAACAUCAGCCGAUGUUUCCAGUGUGAAGAGUUAGUUUGUGACCCGAUCAGAUGUUUUACUGCAUCUAUUUAUUUGUGGCUUAAGAAGCAUUUACACAGAGAAAAAAAGAUCAGUUUCCACUGAUCAGCAGGGAAUUUUAGACCAUAAGUCAGUUAAUCCAUCUUCAAAUAGAGCAAGAGGAUGAAACUUGGAUCAUACAUUUACAUUAUAAGUUGUUGAUACAAAUGUGUAUGUAAACAUUUACUCUUUACUCCCUGUUAUCCACGUCUUUCAUUCAUGUCAGUUACUUGUUUUGUUUCUUUAUAUUGUAUGUUAAUAUUUUAUUUAUGUUCAAACAUGUUUCUGCCAUUAGACGCUGCUCAUCAGAAUCAUUUAAUGUGCAGGAUGAUUUCUGAGAAAAGUUGCUUUUGCAGGUUCCUCUUUCUUUGACACAUUUUCUAUUUUCAGAGGGAACAUUUAAAAAGAAAGGAAGUGUUUGUCUUUGCGAGUGCAGUGAUCUACAAGAUACGUUAAAGGGAGCAGAGAUGAAAAGCUUCCUCUACGACACACUCACAUGAUAUGAAUAAGGCCUUUAAAGUGGAGCAGGAACAGAUCUCAAGCCGUCAGAGAGGAAGUUCACAAGGAGCCUGAUGACGAGCAGCUGUGUGCAAACGUCUCCGAGCUUCUUUGAAUCAGAGGCCAGCUGUUAGUUUAUUGUGAAGCAGAACACCGGUUGUUGCAGCGUGGGGUCGGAGACUCCGUCAUGUCUCUCUUUGUGAUACUCGGGCUGCUCGUCUGCAUUCAGGCUCAAGGAACCAUUGUGACUCCUGUGUUUGUGCUGAAGGGACGUGAUCUGCUCCUCAAGCUUGAUGCUGAUCCUCCUGAGAAGUUUUUACUUGUUGACUGGAAAAUCAAUGAAACAGUCACUUUAGUAACAAUUGAUCAUAGUGGACAAUCAAAAGUCCAUGACAGUUUCACUGGACGGCUUGAGUUUGAAAAAUUCUCUGUGAUAUUGAAGAAUGUACAAGAGGUCGACAGUGGAGUUUAUUCUGCUGUAGCAGAAACAGAUACAGGAAACAAACUAGCAGCUAAAUACAAGGUCACAGUUCAAGGUGAGUCUGUAAACAUUUCACUGAUAGUUUCUGCCGCCAUGUUUCAUAAACUCUU